This is a non-coding RNA of Peromyscus maniculatus bairdii (prairie deer mouse), 738 nucleotides long. The record is from RefSeq and is a predicted model, not a curated record. NCBI's taxonomy places the organism in Eukaryota, Metazoa, Chordata, Mammalia, Rodentia, Cricetidae.
GGUCCAGUCCGUCAUGCCAGAAAGGCAUGGAAGCACAAGCGUGCGGCAGAGGGUCUCAUUGCUCUACAGUUUGGAAACAGGAAACAAUGAAUGGCGGUAUUCAGCUCAUCUUCUCUUUCUUCAGUUCAAGACCCCAAGCUAUGGAAUGGUGCAGUCCACAGUUAGGAUUCUUAUCUGUAAAAUGUGGAUAAUUAAAAAAAAAAAUCUCACCAGCACAGUUUCUGAGAGGCCGAAAUGAGAUGUUUCAAGGUGAAUGAAGUAUGCAUUAGUUUAUUUUUGUGUGUAGCAAGGCUCUCCUUGUCGGAAAGCCAAUUUGAUUCAAUGAGAGCAAACGACGCGAUUCCUCUCCAAGACGAGCUUUGCUACCUAUGGGAUUCUAAGCAACACUUGACGGAACACAGAGUACGUGCUCAGCGGGAAAGGAGGAGUUAGUCAUUUUACAAAAUGCUUAAAAAUCACUUUAUUUUUAGAAGGUUCACUUUGGUCGCUGACAUCUUAAUGCACCGUAAUUUGAAGUGUUCGCAUGUUGAGCGAGCAGAGUAUAAGCUCUUCACGGCAGUGAGGAUAAUUCUCCUCAAAAGUGUUAUAAAUCAAUAUGCGAUGGAAGAAUGCGCAAGAAGCUCAGACUACUACUGUGUCUUAGCAAUAACAAGAAUGUUAAAAGAGAAGAAACAGAAAAGCGCUAAACAAAGUACUCAUUUUAAAUAAAUUCCAAACAAUGAAAUCCAUGAAAAUCAA